CAGGGCUGCCGGUGUGAUGGAGGCUGCACCGUGGCCAGCUGUCCCUGCAUCCUGCGCAGUCAGUGCUCCUGGACCCUCACGGGUGGCCAACUCAGGCUGGAUACCACUGGCACAGCCCCCGAGAUGGGAUCCAUCUACGAAUGCAGCAUGCUGUGUGCUUGUCCCAGGUCCUGCCCCAAUCGGAUGGUGCAGCGUGGGCUCCGAACCCAGCUCCAACUUUACAGGACAGCUGCCAAAGGUUGGGGUGUGCGCACAGUGCAGGAUGUGCCCCACGGAGCCUUCCUUUGCCAGUACUUUGGGGAGCUGAUUUCCAAUACUGAGGCUGCACACCGAGAGGAAGACACUUACUACUUUGUGGUGGAC
This is a long non-coding RNA of Thamnophis elegans (Western terrestrial garter snake), 363 nucleotides long. RefSeq lists it as uncharacterized. The transcript has 4 exons. The record is from RefSeq and is a predicted model, not a curated record. NCBI's taxonomy places the organism in Eukaryota, Metazoa, Chordata, Lepidosauria, Squamata, Natricidae.